GAUGAACGCUGGCUGCGUGCCUAAUACAUGCAAGUCGAGCGAACGGACGAGAAGCUUGCUUUUCUGAUGUUAGCGGCGGACGGGUGAGUAACACGUGGAUAACCUACCUAUAAGACUGGGAUAACUUCGGGAAACCGGAGCUAAUACCGGAUAAUAUUUUGAACCGCAUGGUUCAAAAGUGAAAGACGGUCUUGCUGUCACUUAUAGAUGGAUCCGCGCUGCAUUAGCUAGUUGGUAAGGUAACGGCUUACCAAGGCAACGAUGCAUAGCCGACCUGAGAGGGUGAUCGGCCACACUGGAACUGAGACACGGUCCAGACUCCUACGGGAGGCAGCAGUAGGGAAUCUUCCGCAAUGGGCGAAAGCCUGACGGAGCAACGCCGCGUGAGUGAUGAAGGUCUUCGGAUCGUAAAACUCUGUUAUUAGGGAAGAACAUAUGUGUAAGUAACUGUGCACAUCUUGACGGUACCUAAUCAGAAAGCCACGGCUAACUACGUG
RNAcentral lists this ribosomal RNA (497 nucleotides) under uncultured bacterium. RNAcentral's name for it is "partial 16S ribosomal RNA". It matches the Rfam family "Bacterial small subunit ribosomal RNA", at positions 28 to 507 of the family's 1533-position model. The record is from RNAcentral.